Molecule: transfer RNA, 70 nt
Filed under: Perca flavescens (yellow perch)
Lineage: Eukaryota; Metazoa; Chordata; Actinopteri; Perciformes; Percidae
Rfam family: tRNA
About the family: Transfer RNA (tRNA) molecules are approximately 80 nucleotides in length.
Source: Rfam by way of RNAcentral
GCCCCAGUGGUAAUGGGUUGGCACUGGCCUGCCCAGCCAGGGAUUGUGGGUUCAAGUCCCAUCUGGGGGA